This 513-nucleotide ribosomal RNA is filed under the name uncultured bacterium. RNAcentral describes it as "bacterial SSU rRNA". It matches the Rfam family "Bacterial small subunit ribosomal RNA", at positions 34 to 518 of the family's 1533-position model. The record is from RNAcentral.
CGCUGGCGGCGUGCCUAAUACAUGCAAGUCGAACGGUCUUUCUAUGGAAGCUUGCUUCCACUGAGAAGAUAGUGGCGAACGGGUGAGUAACACGUGGGUAACCUGCCCAUAAGAGGGGGGAUAACAUCCGGAAACGGGUGCUAAUACCGCAUAGUUUUCUUGAUCGCAUGAUCGGGAAAGGAAAGACGGCCUUUGUGCUGUCGCUUAUGGAUGGACCCGCGGCGUAUUAGUUAGUUGGUGAGGUAACGGCUCACCAAGACGAUGAUACGUAGCCGACCUGAGAGGGUGAUCGGCCACAUUGGGACUGAGACACGGCCCAAACUCCUACGGGAGGCAGCAGUAGGGAAUCUUCCGCAAUGGACGAAAGUCUGACGGAGCAACGCCGCGUGAGUGAAGAAAAGGUUUUCGGAUCGUAAAACUCUGUUGUCAGAGAAGAACAAGUUGGAGAGUAACUGCUCCAGCCUUGACGGUAUCUGACCAGAAAGCCACGGCUAACUACGUGCCAGCCGCAGC